RNAcentral lists this unclassified non-coding RNA (253 nucleotides) under uncultured bacterium. Its description in RNAcentral is "contains 16S-23S intergenic spacer region". It matches the Rfam family "Bacterial small subunit ribosomal RNA", at positions 524 to 776 of the family's 1533-position model. The record is from RNAcentral.
UACGGAGGGAGCGAGCGUUGUUCGGAAUUACUGGGCGUAAAGGGCGCGCAGGCGGCCCGUUAAGUCCGAUGUGAAAUCCCUCGGCUCAACCGAGGAGGUGCAUUGGAUACUAGCAGGCUAGAGUGCGGGAGGGGAGAGCGGAAUUCCCGGUGUAGCGGUGAAAUGCGUAGAUAUCGGGAGGAACAUCGGUGGCGAAGGCGGCUCUCUGGACCGUUACUGACGCCGAGGCGCGAAAGCGUGGGGAGCGAGCGGG